GUUCGGACUGCAGGCUGCAACCCGCCUGCACGAAGCCGGAGUUGCUAGUAAUCGCGAAUCAGAAUGUCGCGGUGAAUGCGUUCCCGGGUCUUGUACACACCGCCCGUCACACCAUGGAAGUUGGGGGUGCCCAAAGCCGGCAAGCAAAUAUGCUGUCUAAGGCAAAACCAAUGACUGGGGUGAAGUCGUAACAAGGUAAC
This 200-nucleotide ribosomal RNA is filed under the name uncultured bacterium. RNAcentral describes it as "partial 16S ribosomal RNA". It matches the Rfam family "Bacterial small subunit ribosomal RNA", at positions 1291 to 1500 of the family's 1533-position model. The record is from RNAcentral.